GACGAACGCUGGCGGCGUGCCUAAUACAUGCAAGUCGAGCGAUGAAGAUUGGUGCUUGCACCAAUUUGAAGAGCAGCGAACGGGUGAGUAACGCGUGGGUAAUCUGCCUUUGAGCGGGGGACAACAUUUGGAAACGAAUGCUAAUACCGCAUAACAACUUUAAACAUAAGUUUUAAGUUUGAAAGAUGCAAUUGCAUCACUCAAGGAUGAUCCCGCGUUGGAUUAGCUAGUUGGUUAGGUAAAGGCUCAACAAGGCAGUGAUACAUAGCCUGCCUGAGAGGGUGGUCGGCCACAUUGGGACUGAGACAAGGCCCAAAAUCCUACGGGAAGCAGCAGUAGGGAAUCUUCGGCAAUGGACGAAAGUCUGACCGAGCAACGCCGCGUGAGGGGAGAAGGUUUUCGGAUCGUAAAACUCUGUUGGUAGAGAAGAAAGUUGGUGAGAGUGGAAAGCUCAUCAAGUGACGGUAACUACCGAGAAAGGGACGGCUAACUACGUG
RNAcentral lists this ribosomal RNA (497 nucleotides) under uncultured bacterium. RNAcentral's name for it is "partial 16S ribosomal RNA". It matches the Rfam family "Bacterial small subunit ribosomal RNA", at positions 28 to 507 of the family's 1533-position model. The record is from RNAcentral.